RNAcentral lists this ribosomal RNA (869 nucleotides) under uncultured archaeon. Its description in RNAcentral is "bacterial SSU rRNA". It matches the Rfam family "Archaeal small subunit ribosomal RNA", at positions 1 to 878 of the family's 1478-position model. The record is from RNAcentral.
CUCCGGUUGAUCCCGCCGGACCUGACUGCUAUCGGAUUGGUACUAAGCCGUGCGAGUCGUUGUAGCAAUACAAGGCGGACGGCUCAGUAACACGUAGUCAACCUAACCUAUGGACGUGGAUAACCUCGGGAAACUGAGAAUAAACCGCGAUAGAUCAUUAUGCCUGGAAUGGCUUAUGGUUCAAACAAUUUAUUGCCGUAGGAUGGGACUGCGGCCUAUCAGCUUGUUGGUGAGGUAAUGGCCCACCAAGGCUAUAACAGGUACGGGCUCUGAGAGGAGAGGCCCGGAGAUGGGUACUGAGACACGGACCCAGGCCCUAUGGGGCGCAGCAGGCGAGAAACCUUAGCAAUGUGCGAAAGCACGACUAGGUUAAUCCGAGUGAUUUCUGUUGAAGAAAUCUUUUGUCAGUCGUAAAACCACAGACGAAUAAGGGGUGGGCAAGUCUGGUGUCAGCCGCCGCGGUAAUACCAGCACCUCGAGUGGUCAGGAGGUUUAUUGGGCCUAAAGCAUCCGUAGCCGGCUACGCAAGUCUCCGGUUAAAUCCAGCUGCUCAACAGAUGGGCUGCCGGAGAUACUACAUAGCUAGGGAGCGGGAGAGGUAGACGGUAUUCUGUGGGUAGGGGUAAAAUCCACUGAUCCAUAGAGGACCACCAGUGGCGAAGGCGGUCUACCAGAACGCGUUCGACGGUGAGGGAUGAAAGCUGGGGGAGCAAACCGGAUUAGAUACCCGGGUAGUCCCAGCUGUAAACGAUGCAAACUCGGUGAUGCAUUGGCUUAUGGCCAAUGCAGUGCCGCAGGGAAGCCGUUAAGUUUGCCGCCUGGGAAGUACGGACGCAAGUCUGAAACUUAAAGGAAUUGGCGGGGGAGCA